GUCGUGAUUUACCUUUCGAUAAGUCUCUAGCUGAUGAGUCACCUUCUGUUGAUUCUUCCUUUUACAACAGAAAUAGUCAAAAUAACUCUGCUUUGAUUCCUCCACCAUCUGCUUUCAGGGGUGGAGGUGGCAGUCCUUUUUUGGGUUCACUGGAAGAAGAUAGUAGAAUUAACAGUGGUGCCCGCUACAAGAGGAGUGCUGAUCCCAACAUGGGAAGAGGGCAAGGAAAUGCUUGGAGAGGUGCUCCAAACUGGCCUUCACCUUUGCCGAAUGGCUACAUUCCUUUCCAACAUGGGCCACCUCAUGGAGGUUUUCAAGCCAUGAUGCCACAGUUUCCAUCUCCUCCUCUAUUUGGAGUCAGACCCUCAAUGGAAAUCAACCACUCUGGCAUUCCUUAUCAUAUUCCUGAUGCUGACAGGUUUUCCAGUCAUCUGCGGCCCCUUGGAUGGCAGAAUAUGAUGGAUGGUUCAGGGCCUUCUCACAUGCAUGGAUGGGAUAGAAAUAAUGGUGUAUUUAGGGAUGAAUCACACGUAUAUGGGGGAACAGAAUGGGACCAGAACAGGCAUCCAAUGAAUGGUCGAGGGUGGGAAAAUAGUGCUGACAUUUGGAAAGGGCAAAAUGGUGAUGCAAAUAUGGAUUUGCCCUCGACAUCCCUGAAAGAGGAUUUUCCAGUGCAGGCCCCUGCGGAAGAUGUUGCCACUGGCCAGGAAGGUCAAAGGUCACAAAAUGAAGGUAAUUAUCAUGGGGUUCAGGCAAAAAUUGUUGAAACAAAGGUAGCUGUUACUCCUUCAGCAAAAGAAUCCUUUAAAUCUUCACCUAAAACUACCCAUGAGCAGAAGCCUGAUCAUCCUAAUUCACCAAGUAAUGAUUAUGUUGCUUAUGUUUACUGUGCUUAUCUU
This 899-nucleotide unclassified non-coding RNA is filed under the name Hevea brasiliensis (rubber tree). Lineage: Eukaryota; Viridiplantae; Streptophyta; Magnoliopsida; Malpighiales; Euphorbiaceae. The record is from RNAcentral.